This 22-nucleotide microRNA is filed under the name Homo sapiens (human). Its description in RNAcentral is "hsa-miR-4673". The record is from miRBase by way of RNAcentral. Lineage: Eukaryota; Metazoa; Chordata; Mammalia; Primates; Hominidae.
UCCAGGCAGGAGCCGGACUGGA